CUCAGCAGCCUCAGGGUGGGCUCAGGGGAAGGCUCCCAUACCCUGAGCCACUGCCUGUGCCAGGGUGGCCGGGUUAACCUCCCUUGUGAUGCUCACACGGAAGCCCAGAGGGUGUGGAGUGGAGAUGGGCAUUGGGGCUGUGCCACCCGUGGUGACACAGAGCCCUGCUGUGCAGCUCCAGCCCAACCCCACUGCGCUCAGGGCUGAUGCAGUGGGGUAAGCUGGGGAAACGGGCUGCAGGAGGAGCCUUUGGUGCAUGGGGAGCUCCUGCUCUGCAUCUCCGCACAGUGCCUCAUUCCCGUGUCCUAAUUGCAGCCAGUGAGUCUGCCUGCAGCACUGGCAGCGGUGGGGCACAGGGGUGGGGGCUGCUCUGUCUCUUUGGGCGAUGCUGAGCGCUGCGGUGAGGGAUGUGGGGCAGUGCGUGGUGGGCUGUGUGGGUGUCCCACCCCCUGCCCCCCUGUGCCCAGGUUGUCCCCCCUCCGUCCCCAAGCUCUGCAAGGCUGGACCUGCCCAACUUCGUCGUCCCUGUGGGUGCAGCAGUCCCUGCCCCAGCGCUGCCUGCCCCAACCUCGGUGUUCCCAGCACUCAGGGAUGGCAGCAGGACACAAACGUGCCCCGCGCUGUUUUGUUCAGGUCCGACACAAACAACGGUGGUAGAUUUCCUCUGUGUCAGCAGCGCAGCUGUCCUGCGAGCCUCCUGCAGGGUGAGGGCAGCAAGGUGGUGACAGCUGUGUCCGGAGUGAGGUGCCAGGGCCCCCUGGGACCUCAGGGCAUCACUUUACAUAGGCACAAUAGCAGCUGGGUGAAUUGCAGGGCCCGUGGUGCCUCUGCUGUUGGGUGCUGGAGUGCAUCUCGUACGAUGUUAAAUCUGGUGGCACCCACCAUGGUGCACCACAGGCAGAAAUGGGAUCCUCGCGGCCGCCCCUUCCCCCCCCCCAGCACCUUACACUGCCGACACCAUCUGCAGCGCAACAAGAAAUCCCAAGCCAUACAUGUUUAAUUUUCUACAACACAGCAGCCAUUUCAGCCACACACCCAGAAAGGAUCUUUAAUGAGAAGCGAGGAGAGAGAGCACGCAGCACGCAGGAGAGCCGAGGCACUAUGGAAACACUCUGCUCCCUCCCGGCUGCCUGCCGCUGCUCCGAGUUCAGCCCGGAGAACUUCCCUGCACUGCUGGAGGUUGAUGAGGAGGGAUUGCCGUGACCCCGUGCCUGUGACAGUCGUUUCAGGGCCCCCGGGGGGGCUGUGAGCGCGGCCCCCGGUGCCGGUGCCGGUGCCGGCCGCCC
RNAcentral lists this long non-coding RNA (1286 nucleotides) under Gallus gallus (chicken). RNAcentral describes it as "lncRNA (ENSGALG00010007756.1)". The record is from RNAcentral. Lineage: Eukaryota; Metazoa; Chordata; Aves; Galliformes; Phasianidae.